RNAcentral lists this long non-coding RNA (437 nucleotides) under Solanum tuberosum (potato). RNAcentral's name for it is "long non-coding RNA (STUB_LNC006086)". The record is from RNAcentral. Lineage: Eukaryota; Viridiplantae; Streptophyta; Magnoliopsida; Solanales; Solanaceae.
CUAGAUACACCCCCGUGUACAAGGUCACUCUAUGCACAUGACCUGGUGGAAGCUUAAGAAUAUCAAGAAUGAAUUGAAGAAGCUAAAUUCAGGAGUUUUCUGAUGUUGAUAGGAAAAUCAUUGUUGUCAGGAAGAAGCUAUUGGGAUCUGCUGCUAAUGCGCUACCUGAUAUUGAUCCAAGGGUGAUGUCAGAAAGAUUUACUCUUAAUAGAAGUCAACAACUAGCUCUAAUUACUCCAAUCACUAGAGAGGAAGUGCACUUGGCUAUGAAAGACAUUAACAUUACCAGUUUAAAAGAAAAAAUCAUGGCUAUCAAAGGCAUAGAUGAUAACAAGUGUGAUGGGCUGAAUGCAUUUUUUUCCUCAAAUCGUUGAUGCAUUCUUAUUGCUAAUUAAAUGAUUCCUUUUCCAUUUUUAUAGACAUCAAUUCAAACUGUG